AUAUCAAUAAGCGGAGGAAAAGAAACCAACCGGGAUUGCCCUAGUAACGGCGAGCGAAGCGGCAAAAGUCCAAAUUUGAAAUCUGGCGUCCUACGGGCGUCCGAGUUGUAAUUUGAAGAUGGUAACUUUGGGUUUGGCUCUUGCAUAAGUUCCUUGGAACAGGACGUCAUAGAGGGUGAGAAUCCCGUUCAUGGUAAGAUGCCCAUUCCUUUGUAAAGUGCCUUCGAAGAGUCGAGUUGUUUGGGAAU
This 248-nucleotide ribosomal RNA is filed under the name uncultured fungus. Its description in RNAcentral is "partial 26S ribosomal RNA". It matches the Rfam family "Eukaryotic large subunit ribosomal RNA", at positions 40 to 281 of the family's 3401-position model. Lineage: Eukaryota; Fungi. The record is from RNAcentral.